Molecule: transfer RNA, 63 nt
Filed under: Proales similis
Lineage: Eukaryota; Metazoa; Rotifera; Eurotatoria; Ploima; Proalidae
Description: tRNA-Ala
Source: RNAcentral
AACUAAGUAGUUUAUUUAAAAUAUGUAAUUUGCACUUACAUGAAAGAUUCAUUCUCUUAGUUG